GGAGAGGUGCCAGAGCGGCUGAAUGGGCUGGUUUCGAAAACCAGUGUGCGCGCAAGUGUACCGGGGGUUCGAAUCCCCCCCUCUCCGCCA
Molecule: transfer RNA, 90 nt
Filed under: Planctomycetota bacterium
Lineage: Bacteria; Pseudomonadati; Planctomycetota
Description: Planctomycetes bacterium (activated sludge metagenome) tRNA-Ser
Rfam family: tRNA
About the family: Transfer RNA (tRNA) molecules are approximately 80 nucleotides in length. Their secondary structure includes four short double-helical elements and three loops (D, anti-codon, and T loops). Further hydrogen bonds mediate the characteristic L-shaped molecular structure. tRNAs have two regions of fundamental functional importance: the anti-codon, which is responsible for specific mRNA codon recognition, and the 3' end, to which the tRNAs corresponding amino acid is attached (by aminoacyl-tRNA synthetases). tRNAs cope with the degeneracy of the genetic code in two manners: having more than one tRNA (with a specific anti-codon) for a particular amino acid; and 'wobble' base-pairing, i.e. permitting non-standard base-pairing at the 3rd anti-codon position.
Source: RNAcentral